This 450-nucleotide ribosomal RNA is filed under the name uncultured bacterium. RNAcentral's name for it is "partial 16S ribosomal RNA". It matches the Rfam family "Bacterial small subunit ribosomal RNA", at positions 354 to 796 of the family's 1533-position model. The record is from RNAcentral.
GUGGGGAAUCUUCCGCAAUGGACGAAAGUCUGACGGAGCAACGCCGCGUGAGUGAUGAAGGUCUUCGGAUUGUAAAGCUCUGUUAAUCGGGACGAAAGAGCCUAGUGUGAAUAAUGCUAGGAAGUGACGGUACCGGAAUAGAAAGCCACGGCUAACUACGUGCCAGCAGCCGCGGUAAUACGUAGGUGGCAAGCGUUGUCCGGAAUUAUUGGGCGUAAAGCGCGCGCAGGCGGAUCUGCCAGUCUGUCUUAAAAGUUCGGGGCUUAACCCCGUGAUGGAAUGGAAACUACAGAUCUAGAGUAUCGGAGAGGAAAGUGGAAUUCCUAUUGUAGCGGUGAAAUGCGUAGAUAUUAGGAAGAACACCAGUGGCGAAGGCGACUUUCUGGACGAAAACUGACGCUGAGGCGCGAAAGCCAGGGGAGCGAACGGGAUUAGAUACCCUUGUAGUCC